CCCUUAGAUGUCCUGGGCCGCACGCGCGUUACACUGAUGCAUUCAACGAGCUUAUAACCUUGGCCGAGAGGCCUGGGCAAUCUUGUUAACGUGCAUCGUGAUAGGGAUAGAUUAUUGAAAUUAUUAAUCUUGAACGAGGAAUUCCUAGUAAACGCAGAUCAUCAAUCUGCAUUGAUUACGGCCCUGCCCUUUGUACACACCGCCCGUCGCACCUACCGAUUGGAUGGUCCGGUGAAGCCUCGGGAUUGUGGUUCUUGCCGCUUUAUUGUGGCGUGACCGCGAGAACUUGUCUAAACCUUAUCAUCUAGAGGAAGGUGAAGUCGUAACA
Molecule: ribosomal RNA, 328 nt
Filed under: uncultured eukaryote
Lineage: Eukaryota
Description: partial 18S ribosomal RNA
Rfam family: Eukaryotic small subunit ribosomal RNA
Source: RNAcentral